AUUGGAGAUGAUUAGGCGAGACCAGGAGAGAGAGAGAGAGCACUCAGCAGAAAAGAUACCUCAUUGAUCAACAUUCGACUAGCCAUGGAGAGCCGGGUCUUGGGAGGAAAGUGGCUUGUGAUCAUAAUUCGAAGGCCAGCCUCAGAGAAAGAAAGCUGGUGUGGAUUCAGAUGCAGAACUCCAAGCUACCAUGUCUGCCUGAGUCCCACCAUGCUUCCUGUCAUGAUGAUAAUGGACUGAACCUCUGGAACUGUACGCCAGCCCCAAUAAAAUGCUUUCUCUU
Psammomys obesus (fat sand rat) is the source of this 283-nucleotide long non-coding RNA. RefSeq lists it as uncharacterized. The transcript has 3 exons. NCBI's taxonomy places the organism in Eukaryota, Metazoa, Chordata, Mammalia, Rodentia, Muridae. The record is from RefSeq and is a predicted model, not a curated record.